Molecule: long non-coding RNA, 623 nt
Organism: Helianthus annuus (common sunflower)
Lineage: Eukaryota; Viridiplantae; Streptophyta; Magnoliopsida; Asterales; Asteraceae
Exons: 2
Source: RefSeq, a predicted model, not a curated record
GGGCUGGAAACGAGACGAGCUAUGUCUGGCUAAAGUGAGCAUAACCGCCUCGACUCAUUUAUCUUUACGAGUUGAAAUGUUGUGCUCUAUCCAGCUCAUCAACCCGUCGCAUUUUUAAAGAAAAUUAAUUUUAUAUUUCUACACAUAUUUACAAAAAAGAAUUUUUAAACAAAAGAAUUUAUAAUUUAUAUACAAUAAAAUUUUGGGUUAUAAUUUACAUGUAUUAAAAUUAAAAUUUGGGUUUUAAUUUAAAUGAGCCCAAUGAGCGAGCCGCCAAGUGGAGCUUACCUUGGCCCGUGCUCGGUCCUUUUACAAACGAGGCAAUUUCGAUCGAGCCGCGAGCUUUUUGAACAACCCUUACUUUUUUGCCUUUUUGCAGCGCCCAACGGUUGAAUGACUUGGGUGAAGAAUCAACCAGACUUCCUCUCUUCCUCUCUUGAGGUUGGAUGGGUCAAAAUGGGUCGGAGCGGUUUAAGCCUAUCAAUACUUUUUAUGUCCAUUUUGUAUAUAUUUUAGACUACUAUUUCUUUUUAGCUAAUUUUCCUUCCACAUUCGACCCGUUAUCAAUGAAAUACAUUUCGACCCGUUAUCAAAAUGGGUCAGACUUUUAUAGUCUGUUAAAA